RNAcentral lists this ribosomal RNA (497 nucleotides) under uncultured bacterium. RNAcentral's name for it is "partial 16S ribosomal RNA". It matches the Rfam family "Bacterial small subunit ribosomal RNA", at positions 28 to 507 of the family's 1533-position model. The record is from RNAcentral.
GAUGAACGCUGGCGGCGUGCCUAAUACAUGCAAGUCGAGCGAACAGACGAGGAGCUUGCUCCUCUGACGUUAGCGGCGGACGGGUGAGUAACACGUGGAUAACCUACCUAUAAGACUGGGAUAACUUCGGGAAACCGGAGCUAAUACCGGAUAAUAUAUUGAACCGCAUGGUUCAAUAGUGAAAGACGGUUUUGCUGUCACUUAUAGAUGGAUCCGCGCCGCAUUAGCUAGUUGGUAAGGUAACGGCUUACCAAGGCGACGAUGCGUAGCCGACCUGAGAGGGUGAUCGGCCACACUGGAACUGAGACACGGUCCAGACUCCUACGGGAGGCAGCAGUAGGGAAUCUUGCGCAAUGGGCGAAAGCCUGACGGAGCAACGCCGCGUGAGUGAUGAAGGUCUUCGGAUCGUAAAACGCUGUUAUUAGGGAAGAACAAAUGUGUAAGUAACUAUGCACGUCUUGACGGUACCUAAUCAGAAAGCCACGGCUAACUACGUG